This 206-nucleotide ribosomal RNA is filed under the name uncultured bacterium. RNAcentral's name for it is "partial 16S ribosomal RNA". It matches the Rfam family "Bacterial small subunit ribosomal RNA", at positions 1295 to 1500 of the family's 1533-position model. The record is from RNAcentral.
GGAUUGUAGUCUGCAACUCGACUACAUGAAGCUGGAAUCGCUAGUAAUCGCGAAUCAGAAUGUCGCGGUGAAUACGUUCCCGGGUCUUGUACACACCGCCCGUCACACCAUGGGAGUUGGGAAUGCCCGAAGCCGGUGACCUAACCGAAAGGGAGGAGCCGUCGAAGGCAGGCUUGAUAACUGGGGUGAAGUCGUAACAAGGUAGC